Molecule: ribosomal RNA, 205 nt
Filed under: Staphylococcus aureus
Lineage: Bacteria; Bacillati; Bacillota; Bacilli; Caryophanales; Staphylococcaceae
Description: partial 16S ribosomal RNA
Rfam family: Bacterial small subunit ribosomal RNA
Source: RNAcentral
AGUUUGAUCCUGGCUCAGGAUGAACGCUGGCGGCGUGCCUAAUACAUGCAAGUCGAGCGAACGGACGAGAAGCUUGCUUCUCUGAUGUUAGCGGCGGACGGGGGAGUAACACGUGGAUAACCUACCUAUAAGACUGGGAUAACUUCGGGAAACCGGAGCUAAUACCGGAUAAUAUUUUGAACCGCAUGGUUCAAAAGUGAAAGAC